This 301-nucleotide ribosomal RNA is filed under the name uncultured bacterium. RNAcentral's name for it is "partial 16S ribosomal RNA". It matches the Rfam family "Bacterial small subunit ribosomal RNA", at positions 509 to 809 of the family's 1533-position model. The record is from RNAcentral.
CAGCCGCCGCGGUAAUACGGAGGGUGCAAGCGUUAUCCGGAUUUAUUGGGUUUAAAGGGUCCGUAGGCGGAUCUGUAAGUCAGUGGUGAAAUCUCACAGCUUAACUGUGAAACUGCCAUUGAUACUGCAGGUCUUGAGUAAAUUUGAAGUGGCUGGAAUAAGUAGUGUAGCGGUGAAAUGCAUAGAUAUUACUUAGAACACCAAUUGCGAAGGCAGGUCACUAAGAUUUAACUGACGCUUAUGGACGAAAGCGUGGGGAGCGAACAGGAUUAGAUACCCCUGUAGUCCCUGUCUCUUAUAU